UCACGCGAAACGGUACAUAAAAUGUCACAACUUUUGCGAAAUUACCAUUUUGCCAACACCGACCUCUCCACGAUCAACGCGCGAUUUCUGCAGAUCCGUCCGUCAGAUUUGCGAACGGAUCGUACCAGUGCAAUCAGCACGAUGGAGAUAACAAAGCUACGAUUUCGUUUCAUCUCGAUCGCUCUCAGAUUUGCGACGAAAUCCGUUCCAACUCUCCAACAAAAGAAACUACGCACGAAUACCUAUAAAACAUGUAUUUUUGAAUUUUCUCGAAAUUCGUGCCUCAAACUCAAAAUCCAUCAGUGCCAAUAGUUCCAGAACAGUUGAACCGGUCGAAACGAGCUAUUGGACUGCUAUGAACGGUGUCCGAUACGUGCCAAAAGCCAACUUCCCACCGUGACUUCUUCAGAAAAUCGAGUUACUAUUCACUUCAAGUUAAACUUGGAAAUCACGUAGAAUCUCCGUUUUAACUCGGUUUCUCCCGAAACUUGACGAGUCCUUUUGUAAUUAAAUUACACACAAAAAUAUCGUCAACUGAGAGUUUAGCUGUACUGCUAAAAUCUCGGUCCUUACAAAUGGAUUCGACAAUUAUUCGAAUAUGUGAUUUAUACGGAUAUUAUACGUUCACCAAUUAAAAAUUCAGAAUGAAAAAUUCGGCUAUAUAAUAAAUAUAUAAUAAUUAAUAUACUAUAUAUAUUAUUAUAAUUUUUAUAUAUAGUUUAAAUAUAUUUAAAAUUAUAAUAAACAUAUAUUAAUAAUAUAUAAGAGUUAUAUAUUUAGAAAUAUUAAUAAAUAAUUACAAAUUUAUAAAUAAAAUAUUAUAUAAUAAUAUUUCUAUAUAAAAAUAAAAUACUAUAUAUAAUAAAUUAAGAACUAGGCUACUAUACUAUCGGUAGCACAGAGCGCUCUGUGCUACCAAGUUGUUUUCGAUGAUGCGGCUUCCAAAUCGACGAUCGGCUCCGUUAGACUUGAUCUACACUAUUAAAAGUAUUUAGAAACUAAAUUUCAGAAUUUUUCGAUAUCAUUUACCUAUCAAACAAGUAGUCUAAAAUUGAACGGCUGAAAAUAAAAAUCUCAUGAAAAAUGAUGAUAAAGGAUUUAAAUUCAAGAUCAGAUAUACUGUAACAUACUAGACCUUUGCAAAUUGCGAGGUUCGAGUGUUGGUUGUGUGCCGAGCGUUUCCACAUGUUGUGGAGGGUCGUAGACAGUGAUCCGACCCAUGGUUCGAGUCCCGAGAAUUGUGGUUUAAAACCUUGCACCAAAAUCUAAAAAGUUGGAUUUUUGGUCAGCUCUCGAGUAGCCUUCAGCAGGUAGUGUACCGGUACGGGCCUAAUGGCUGUACCGGUAUGCGGUGAUGGCUGUACCGGUACGCGGGCCGUGUACCGGUACACAGAAAGCUUCUGGCCAAACCCGAGGCUCGGGUUUGGGUUUUCGUAGGUUGUGUACCGGUACACAAUCCCGUGUACCGGUACACAGUACAGACUGGGCUGCUGUUCGGGCAGGGGGGUGUUUGCAAUUGUUACAACACCUAUAUAUGCCACCCCAGCCCCUUUGAGAGCUCUUUUGAGCCCUAGAUUAGAGGAGAGCAAGGUGAGUCUUCCUCCCUUUGUUUUGAUUUUCAUUUUUGAUGGGAUUUGGCUAGGUUUUGAUCUCCUCCUCCUUGCUUUUCUUGCUUUUUGUUGGGUUUCCUCCAUGAGAGAAGCCUUGAGCUCAGGAUUGGAGCUUUGUGGAAGGAAGAUCUUGAUACCUUGUGGACUUGAGCUUGGAUAGAAGCUUCUAAGAGGUUUGUGGCUAGUUCUCUCCUCUAGAUUUGGGUCUUGAUGGAUUUUGCUAGAUGAAACCCUAGAUUUUGGGUUUUAGGGUUAAAUUUGGGGAUUUUCGUUUUGAGGGCCUUGGAACCCAAUUGAUAGGUUUAGAAUCUUCCUUUAGGUGGGAUUGGAAGGAUUCUAGCUCUCCUUGGAAGCUUGUUUAGGGAUUUCUUCACAAAAGGUGAGUUUUGACCCUUUUUGCUAGAUGGUUAAUGAUUGAGCUUUUGGCUCUUCGUUUCGUUCGGGUAACCCUGCUUUUGAUGCUUCUAGGGUACUAGAAAGCUCGUGGAUCACUUCGUUCAGCUAAACGAAGAAGUCGAUUUUUGUGGGUUUGGCUUCGUGGAAGAGGGGCAAAAUGGCCCCUAUGUUCUCUAUACUUGUUGUAAAGUAGUUUUUAAAUGCAUUUCUAUUCUAAUUAGAAUUUAUGUGAAUUUUAGAACACUUAAAAUGCAUGCCUUAUGUAUAAGUUAAAUUUUACUCUAUAUAGUAGAGUAAUCAGGAUUAUUUUCAUGCAUGUGAGGAGUGCUCAUGUGGACGAAUGGGAUUCUCGUCUAGUAUGCUAAAUUAGCUCGUAUUCGUGUAUUGGAAACAUUAUACUAUGUUUGGACUUAGUAGCAUAAAGUGUCAUCAAGAGGCACUUGAAAUAGUAAACUAUGAAACUGUGCAAUAUAGAGACAGAAUAUUAGGCCAUUGUAUAUUUGCUAUAUAUUCCAUGUUAGAGACAUGAUGACAUAGAGAUAGGCCUUUGGGACAUUCGAUACAUUCCAUGUUAUUAGACAUGAGGACUUGGUACUUGUGACAGGACAUAUGAUUACUUGCCAUUGUGCUCAUUCGCACAUGCUUGUGAGGGUCGCUCCCUACAAGCCGGCACUCCGGAGAUGGCCAUCGCGAUUUAUAUUCACCGUGCGGGAUUGGGCGCCGAAGUGGAUUGCCGUGGGCCAGACUCAUUCCUAGGGUGGGGAUGAUGACUACCACGGGGCCACUAGGCUCGGCAUUGGCCAGACAGCCUACGGGUGGGUCUCAGGGCCAUAGACAGCCUUCGGGUGGGUCUCUUCAGAUUUGACUUUGAGUAUUCACUAUGACAUGUGGACAGAUGAUGGCUUAGUAUAUUGACUGGACAUCGACUAGAAUAGUAACAAUGACAUAUUUACUAAUUGCAUUGAGGACAUCGUAUUGGUUGCAUACCUAUGGGUAUUCAUGUAUACACAUCCAUGUACAUCCAUGAUAUAGUUGUUUUAUUACUUAUGCAAAUCAUGCUAAGUAGAGACUUCAUGUUAUAGUAAGCUACACUUUUACUUACAUUUCGCUUCACUGUUUUUUUUGUCACUGACCUCUUUUUGUAGCUUUUGGGCCUUGUGGCGCAGUUCACUGAAGUCAGUAAUUGCCAAUUGGGAACUAUUAUUUAAUAGUUCUCACGCCCUCUGUUUCAUGUUUUUCUUUCAGAGCCCUCUGCACCGGUGGAGGCAUGGGAUCGCGGCAAGGGGAUCGCUAGCUAGACAGCGAGGAUUUACUUUCACUCUUAGGUGGUUUCCCUCCUUUUAUGUUUUGGGAGAUGGAGAGAUUGUGUUUACCAUGCAUAGAGACCACCUAUGGACUCUCUUAGUUCUUGUAAUUGGAUUUGUGGUUGUCCUACUUUAUGGCUUUAUUAGUGAUUUUAGCCUGCUACUCUUCACUUUGCUUUAGUUUCUAGAUGUUGUAUAUUGCUCUGAUACUCCUAGUUAUUUUUUCCUUUAUUGUCUCUUUUAUCGCUUUGGUUUUAGACGCCUUAUAUGUUUUAGACGUAUGGCGGGUCUGGACACGCGUCGGGCGGGUUCCGCUGGGUCCCGGGGCGUGACAGAUUAUUUUGGUAUCAGAGCCUAGGGUUGAAUCUUAGUGGACCUAGCAAACCUUAGGCCGGUUGCACUAUAGGAAAUAGGCUCGUGAGAGACAAGGUCUAUUCGACUUGUAAGCGAAAGUAUCUUGAUUGGGUAUCUUUGAUAACUCUAGAAAGUGGAGUUAAAUUGAAGUGUAUAGCUUCUAACUUCGCGGAGGGUUACGUUGGCGGCCGACAACGUAACAUCGGGAGUUAGUAGUUUGGGACACUUCCUUACUUUCGCAUGAUUGGGGUAUUGGUAUUUGAGCGGGGUUCCGAUAGCGUGGGUUUUAUUAACUUGCGCUUUCAUGAUGUUAUAGUGAUGAUGCCGACUACACNCACGCGGCGGGCGGGCUUCCGCUGGGUCCCGGAGCGUGACAGAUUAUUUUGGUAUCAGAGCCUAGGGUUGAGUCUUAGUGGACCUAGCAAACCUUAGGCCGGUUGGACUAUAGGAAAUAGGCUCGUGAGAGACGAGGUCUAUUCGACUUGUAAGCGAAAAUAUCUUGAUUGGGUAUCUUUGAUAACUCUAGAAAGUGGAGUUAAAUUGAAGUGUAUAGCUUCUACCUUCGCGGAGGGUUACGUUGGCGGCCGACAACGUAACCUCGGGAGUUAGUAGUUUGGGACACUUUCUUACUUUCGCAUGAUUGGGGUAUUGGUAUUUGAGCGGGGUUGCGAUAGCGUGGGUUUUAUUAACUUGCACUUUCAUGAUGUUAUAGUGAUGAUGCCGACUACACGCUCUAAGUCUGUUAGAGCGGACGGCGCGGCAACUGUUGAGGAAGCGGAGACAUCCGCUACCUCCGGAUCCGGCGAGGUCCGUGAGUCGAAGAGCCAACUUGCGGCCCUCACUGAAUUGGUGAUGCAUCAGGCGGCGUCGACUCAACGGUAGGCAGAUGCAGCGCCUAGAGGAUCUUCUACUGCAGCAGGUAGCUGCCGGGGAGGCUCAGGUCCCUGUACCACCAGCACCAGUAAUGAUAGUUGUGCCCGGGAGGGGGGGUCGUCCCCUGUACCCAACACUUCGCGGACGGCAGCUACGGUAGCACCUCAGGAGGAGGUAUUGGCGGCACCACCAACUCAGGUGCCUGCGGCAGCGGCAGCGGCAGUUUUUCCCUUGACGGUUCAGGGAGCAGAGCGGCAGCGGCUCAUGGAACGCCUCAGCGAGUUCAAGAGGCGCGAUCCCAGGAUCUUUGAUGGAGAGAAAGCCGACCACUGGAUCGUUGAGAAGUGGUUGAUGCACCUGGAGACGUUAUUCCGCGACACUUUUGUGGAGGAGAGAGACAGAGUUUGGCUCGCCACUCACCACUUGGACGGCAAGGCCUAUAGCUGGUGGGUGGGCAUCCAGGAUAAUCCCAACACCGGUUUAGCAGCGAUCUCUUAAAAGAGGUUCAAGGAGCUCUUAUUGGAACACUACUUCCUCGUCUAUGUUAAGAAGAAGAUGGAGCAGGAUCUGCGCGAGAUACGCCGGGGGAUCGGACCGUGGCCGAGUACGAGAGGGAGUUUUUUCGGCUACUACACCGUGUGCCCUUGGUUGUGCAGGACGACGAGAAUAAGGCUCGCAUCUUCGAGCAAGGACUUCGGCCGUCAAUCUUUCGGUUGGUGCAAUCCUCCAACCUUCAGACUUACCGAGAUGUGGUAAACCGCGCGCUCAUCGUGGAGAGCGGCGCGGCGGACUUGCAGGGACGUCGAGAAGACUUGGACAGAAUGAAAGGCAAGAGGCCUGUGGCUGAGGGUGCGAGUUAGACGCACUCUGGGAGGCCGCCGAGAUAUCCUAGGAACCGGAGCCAGUCGCGAGGACGUGGCCCAUCUGUGCAGCAUGGAGAAUCCGAGCAUCGUCAGACCCUGAGCUGCGUAAUCUACGGUGGUCGUCAUUACCCACGGCAGUGCUCACAGAGGCAGGGCAGGUGCUACUCGCGUGGCCAGGAGGGCCACACCCAGUCGGAUUGCCCGAGGGGUUCUGUUGCAGCGCCAUCAUCAGCAUCGGCAUCAGGGUUACUGGGUCCCAGCCGGGGGACGCCCUCUGCCCACUACCAGACUGGGAGGCCACCUGUCCAGAGACAGACGAAGGGGUCACGACAGGCCCCGAGCCGGCACAUGUAUACGGCCCAGACUGAGAGGGCGGCAGCAGCCGAGUUUGUGACUACAAGUAUCAGUCCCUUUUGUGGUAUUUGAGUUGUGCAUUGUUUGCUAUUGGUACAUUGCAUCCAUAUUCUGAUCGGCUAUUUGCCGAGUUGCAUGGUAUUUUGUUAGUUCGCUGUUUGCGACGUUGGGUAGCCCCUCAAGCUAGGCGGUUGUUUUGCGGGUUGUGGGUAGCAUAUUUCGUUAUGCUGAUAGAUCUCACGAGGGUUGCAUUAGUUGCAUCCCUUGAUCAGCUGUUCGCCGGAAGGUGCUUGGAGACGACCGUGCCUGGACCGUUUGUGGACUAUGGAGCCUGGGGCCCUUUGGGGCAGGCGCAGUAGCUGUGUGUGACAGCGGCCUAGUACCUACGGGUAGGGCAGAGUUUUGGUCAGGGCGGUAGUCCGAGCGUAGACCCUGAAGCAUGGAAAGCCACGCGUUGGAUCGUGAGAUCGAGGACGCACCGAGUGUGUGGUGACCCAACCCGAGGAACUGUUAGCGUUGAACAUCUUCGACGCAGGCAGGAUGAUCGGUUGAGCGGGUGUGUCAUUUUGAACACCCUACCAUGUGAGAUGGUUUUGUGUGCCAACAAAUGGAUUGGCCUUGUUUUGUAUGGAGUUGUUGUGGGUACCUAGUGCUCUUGGAUUACGAGCUGACUUGACUCGCCUUGAGGACUUUGAGCACGAAAUAGUGCUAUUUGAGAAUUUAUUUUCGCUCGUUGCGUUGACUGUCUCCCUUACCAAAGUUGGGUAAGUGUUGGAGAGAAUUCGAGGUCUAGCUGGCCAUUAGUUCUGGUGAUCAAGAAUCCUCAGAAUGAAGGAUGUCUUUGAUCUAUGGUUGUGCCCCCAACCGAGUCACAAAUCGUAAACUCGAUUGGCGGGGAGGCUUUAUAGCUGGUGUUUUGCUUCGUGGUGGAGCACUCUCACUUGUUGUGGGACCGGUUGGGCCGUUUCGACUGUAUGUCGACUAUCGUGAUUCAAAUUGAACCACGAUUGGGUGUUUGGACCGUGCUGAGGCCCAUUGGUCUUAUCGUUUGGCCUUGGGUUGUUGGUGUACUCGAUAAGAUUGUAAACAAUCGGAGUAAUGCCGUUUGAUGUUGGAGUUUGAGGUUACACCUCAAACGGGUUGUGAUGCUAGGUUGGGACCUCACGAGAGUGAUGUUGCCAAGCCUGUAGUACUCCACCAGUGGAAGGGACUUGCGGAAUGAUAAUCCCAAGCCCUUUGGAUGACCUGGGAUAUUUCUUUUAUAGGAGGUGCGAGUUUGGACUGCGUAGGCAGGUUCGAAGUGAUCGAGUUGGGGGACUCUCACUGACGGAUGGAGGACUCGCGAGAGGGAAGGUAUAAAGUUACUAAUUUCCCUUGUUUGGAGCGUAUACAAGGAUUUGAGUUCAUUGGGAUAGCACUGCAUAUAAGCACUUAUGGGAUUGACUUUGGCUUGACAAUCGCGUCAGGAUGACCUUGAUAGGGAGUUAUUACUUAACUAUGGAUUAAUCCCUCUCUAUCGCGUGGACUGAGCUCGGUGGUUAUGGACACUUGGAGCAUCCACUGCUAAGGAAAGCAUUGGGAUCGAAAGUUUCUAUGUGAUUGUGUUAUGAACCUUCUGUCGAAGCUAGGCCCUUGGCUUGGGCUUGCGAAGAAUUUACUUGGACUUAAGUUGGGGCUAAAAUGAUGAUCUUAGUGGAAUGAUGAAGCUUCUUAGCUUGAUCCCUAGCCAUGUAUCACAGGGGAUUUGAGGGUACUCCCGAGUUGUGAGUUUGAGAUUGAUGUGGAGACAUCGUAUCGCCGUGCCAAAUGAGGAAUCAAGUAAUCGCCAUGAUGAGCGAGUUUGGACGGAUAGUCGAUCUCUAUUACUAUUGGAAGAAUGGCUACCUUGAAUGUUGAAUUGGAACCGUUCGUGCCAAGCAAGAUUGGACGGAUGAAUGGGCGUUGCAAAUAGCAAUGGGAUGGAAAGGGUUACAUCAUACGUAACCUUAGCUUAGAUUGCACUCAGUUGCACCGUCACGAGAAGAGAUUUGAUUUUGGAUCUGAAGGAUCAUCGUUGGAAUUUGAGCCGAUGAAUGGAAUGGGCAUCACCUUCCUUUGAUAAGUGAUGAUCGGGUAAGUACUCCAGUUGAGUACUUGAUGGAAUUUCAUAUACAAGAGCGGUGGAAGCAAAGCUAAGCUUUACCCUUGACUGAGACGAGGAAGGCGAAAACUAGAAUUCAGCUGUUGGGAAUACUUGGACUGGAGAGAAACUCGCACAGGUUUACCUGGAUGAGAUUGUGCGAUUGCACGGGGUACCUACUUCUAUUGUAUCAGACCGAGACCCCCGAUUUAUAUCUCACUUUUGGUGAAGCUUACAGAAUGCUUUGGGUAUGCGCUUGGAUUUCAGCACUGCUUUCCACCCCCAGAGUGACGGGCAGUCGGAGCGUACUAUACAGACUCUUGAGGACAUGCUCCGAGCCUGUGUGAUCGACUUCCAGGGAGGAUGGUCGCAGCAUCUACCAAUGGCAGAGUUUGCUUAUAACAACAGUUAUCAAGCAAGCAUCAAGAUGCCACCAUUCGAGGCACUUUAGGGACGGAAGUGUAGAUCGCCACUUCUUUGGAGUGAAGUUGGCGAGAGACUGGCUUUAGGCCCUGAUGUGCUCCAAGAAGCAGAGGACAAGGUUCGCAUUGCUAGGGAGCAACUAUUGACAGCCCUGGGUAGGCAUAAGAGUUAUGCUGAUAAGGGUCGACGAGACUUGGAGUUUCAGAUUGGAGAUCAUGUCUUCUUGAAAGUCUCGUCGACCAGAGGGAUUAGAAGAUUUGUCAUCUGGGGCAGGUUGAACCCCCGUUUCAUUGGACCGUAUGAGGUUUUGGAGCGUGUAGGUCCGGUAGCAUAUCGACUUGCUCUACCACCGAACCUAUCGGGCCUGCACAAUGUCUUUCAUGUAUCGGUCCUUCGGAGGUACAUACAUGACCGAGCUCACGUUUUGAAGGAUAUACCAGUGGAGCUGCAUGAGGAUUUAAGCUUCGAGGAGCAGCCCGUGAGGAUCUUGGCUCGCGAGGUGCGGAAGCUGCGGAACCGAAAAUUCCCUACGUGAAGGUGCUUUGGAGCAACCACGACGAGCGCGAGGCCACUUGGGAAUUGGAGAGCGAGCCAUGGGAGCGCUAUCCCCAUCUUUUUCAGAUAGAUGCUUAAGGUAUUUUGCUUUUGAGUUUCGCGGACGAAACUCCUUUUUAAGAGGGGUGAAUGUAACACACUGGACCUUUGCAAAUUGCGAGGUUCGAGUGUUGGUUGUGUGCCGAGCGUUUCCACAUGUUGUGGAGGGUCGUAGACAGUGAUCCGACCCAUGGUUCGAGUCCCGAGAAUUGUGGUUUAAAACCUUGCACCAAAAUCCAAAAAGUUGGAUUUUUGGUCAGCUCUCGGGUAGCCUUCAGCAGGCAGUGUACCGGUACGGGCCUGAUGGCUGUACCGGUACGCAGUGAUGGCUGUACCGGCACGCGGGCCGUGUACCGGUACACAGACAGCUUCUGGACAAACCCGAGGCUCGGGUUUGGGUUUUCGUAGGUUGUGUACCGGUACACAAUCCCGUGUACCGGUA
This 9332-nucleotide long non-coding RNA is filed under the name Ananas comosus (pineapple). RNAcentral's name for it is "long non-coding RNA (ACOM_LNC028203)". The record is from RNAcentral. Lineage: Eukaryota; Viridiplantae; Streptophyta; Magnoliopsida; Poales; Bromeliaceae.